Molecule: long non-coding RNA, 445 nt
Filed under: Vigna radiata
Lineage: Eukaryota; Viridiplantae; Streptophyta; Magnoliopsida; Fabales; Fabaceae
Description: long non-coding RNA (VRAD_LNC002457)
Source: RNAcentral
UCCAAGAGACGUGAAGGCUCGGCUGAAGGUGUGGGCGCAAGCGGUGGCACUGGCAUCUGCAUCAAGAUACAGCACAUGAAUUCGAUUUUCCCCUAAUUCCUAUUCGCUUCCUCUCAGAGACUAUAUAUAUAUAUAUAUAUAUAUAUAUAUAUAUAUAUGUAUUAUAGGGUACUAUAACACAAGUUUUUAAAUUUUUCUUCCCACUAUGAUUAUUGUUGUAGAGUUGUUGUUUCCGCUGUAGGAGUGUUGAGGUUCAUUUCAGGUGGAAGUUUCUUUUUUGAGUGGUGGUCACUUUUGCUCUGUACAGUAGUGUUUGAAUGAGAUGAAAGGGCCCUGAUGCGAGAAAUUAGGGUGUGAAUAGCCAAUAAAAAUAUGUAAUUGAAAAAUUGUGAAUGGACAAAGGAAAAAAUGUGGAACUUUUAUGGGAAUUUUGGAUUCAUAUACA